Molecule: ribosomal RNA, 253 nt
Filed under: uncultured prokaryote
Description: partial 16S ribosomal RNA
Rfam family: Bacterial small subunit ribosomal RNA
Source: RNAcentral
ACGGGGGGGGCAAGCGUUGUUCGGAAUUACUGGGCGUAAAGGGCUCGUAGGCGGCCAACUAAGUCACACGUGAAAUCCCUCGGCUCAACCGGGGAACUGCGUGUGAGACUGGAUGGCUUGAGUUUGGGAGAGGAAUGCGGAAUUCCAGGUGUAGCGGUGAAAUGCGUAGAUAUCUGGAGGAACACCGGUGGCGAAGGCGGCAUUCUGGACCAAUACUGACGCUGAGGAGCGAAAGCCAGGGGAGCAAACGGGA